This 451-nucleotide long non-coding RNA is filed under the name Elaeis guineensis (African oil palm). RNAcentral describes it as "long non-coding RNA (EGUI_LNC009002)". The record is from RNAcentral. Lineage: Eukaryota; Viridiplantae; Streptophyta; Magnoliopsida; Arecales; Arecaceae.
UCCUCUUUGCUGCUAGGGUCCUUGUCUAGACAUAUGGCUGUAGGUCUUCUUCAUGAAUGAGUAGGUGCCACCAGUUGCUAAUCUGUCUAUAAUCAUGUUGAUGACCCCAAUAGUAGAUCAGUUGUCAAGCAGUAGCUCGAGGGUGGGCUAUUCCUGACUAGAGGUAUCCUUAUCUUAUGGGUGGCAGAGUAAGCACUGAGGAAGACUUGCUUGAUGAGUGCUUCAAUCUUUCUCUUUGGCUAGUAGCAGUCCUCAGUAUCAUACCCAUAGUCAUGAUGGAACUCACAAUACUUCUUCAUGUCUCUAUAGGCAUUUGGCUUCAUCUUCCUCGGCCACUUGAUGAUCUCCCAUUUCUUGAUCUGUAUUAGAAUUUAUCCUCGAGAGGUAUUGAGAGGUGUACGACUCUCUAGCCUCUAAAGACUUCUCGAUCACCAAGAGCUUCCCCCAUAUC